Eublepharis macularius is the source of this 421-nucleotide long non-coding RNA. RefSeq lists it as uncharacterized. The record is from RefSeq and is a predicted model, not a curated record. NCBI's taxonomy places the organism in Eukaryota, Metazoa, Chordata, Lepidosauria, Squamata, Eublepharidae. The transcript is spliced from 3 exons.
AGGAUUUGUGUCUCUGGACUGAGACUUUGGAACUCUGUUUGAACUCUAGGUAAUCUUGGACUGGGAAACCGAAAGUCUGUUUAAGUGCACUAGGGUAAUCUGUGGCAUGGACAAGGAACCAAGAAGAGGGGUGACAGAAAGCUGGAUUUCUGUGUAAGUUGGGCAAAACAUGACAAAAGAAACUAGAGUCAGAGUCCAUGGCACAUCCAAGAAAAUUAAGCAGAAACUGUUGUCCAGUCUGCCAGUAACAUUUUCCUCCUUUCUGUAAAUGCCCUUGGAUUCCUCAAACCAAAGAAAGUGGAGAUUCUUCAGUCCUGUAUCCCCAGGCAAAAUGGAAGUGAAAAGCUGCUUCUGACUUAUGCAGUCUGUUUCUGCAGGCACAAGAGCAAUCCAGGCAGCAGACCAGGGUGGGUGAAUUUUG